This 814-nucleotide ribosomal RNA is filed under the name uncultured bacterium. Its description in RNAcentral is "bacterial SSU rRNA". It matches the Rfam family "Bacterial small subunit ribosomal RNA", at positions 1 to 812 of the family's 1533-position model. The record is from RNAcentral.
CCUUAGAGUUUGAUCCUGGCUCAGGAUGAACGCUAGCUACAGGCUUAACACAUGCAAGUCGAGGGGCAGCAUGACCUAGCAAUAGGUUGAUGGCGACCGGCGCACGGGUGAGUAACACGUAUCCAACCUGCCGAUUAUUCCGGGAUAGCCUUUCGAAAGAAAGAUUAAUACUGGAUAGCAUAACGAGAAGGCAUCUUCUUGUUAUUAAAGAAUUUCGAUAAUCGAUGGGGAUGCGUUCCAUUAGUUUGUUGGCGGGGUAACGGCCCACCAAGACAUCGAUGGAUAGGGGUUCUGAGAGGAAGGUCCCCCACAUUGGAACUGAGACACGGUCCAAACUCCUACGGGAGGCAGCAGUGAGGAAUAUUGGUCAAUGGACGAGAGUCUGAACCAGCCAAGUAGCGUGAAGGAUGACUGCCCUAUGGGUUGUAAACUUCUUUUAUAUGGGAAUAAAGUGCAGUAUGUAUACUGUUUUGUAUGUACCAUACGAAUAAGGAUCGGCUAACUCCGUGCCAGCAGCCGCGGUAAUACGGAGGAUCCGAGCGUUAUCCGGAUUUAUUGGGUUUAAAGGGAGCGUAGGCGGAUUAUUAAGUCAGUUGUGAAAGUUUGCGGCUCAACCGUAAAAUUGCAGUUGAUACUGGUAGUCUUGAGUGCAGCAGAGGUAGGCGGAAUUCGUGGUGUAGCGGUGAAAUGCUUAGAUAUCACGAAGAACUCCGAUUGCGAAGGCAGCUUACUGGACUGUAACUGACGCUGAUGCUCGAAAGUGUGGGUAUCAAACAGGAUUAGAUACCCUGGUAGUCCACACAGUAAACGAUGA